Molecule: long non-coding RNA, 490 nt
Organism: Amphibalanus amphitrite
Lineage: Eukaryota; Metazoa; Arthropoda; Thecostraca; Balanomorpha; Balanidae
Exons: 3
Source: RefSeq, a predicted model, not a curated record
AACGAUAGCUGCAGAACGAUAAGGUGGCGGUCUAUAGGCGGCUCCGUCGGCUACCGGACCAGCGCCGGCCCGGGAGCCGCAGCCGGGCCCUUCGUGGGCCGGCCUGAUGAUAACCAAAUUCCGUCUAAUCUCAAAUGACGGAGCGUCCCUCCGUUCUUUUCUUGAUAAGAAUGGCCACUGGCCGUUUCCCAGGCGGCGCCGUUGCCGGGACCGUCAUCGGCCCAGCAGGCACCGCUGCGGCUGCCGACUGGACCUGUGGCCGUGACGGAGGUGGCUACCGGCAUCCGGGUGGUAGAGGCAAUUAUGCCCUUUUACCAGGAUGUCCGGGCCACGGAGUUGGGCCUGGAGCCGGACGCGACCUACCAGCCGCCGACCAGGGGCGCCUCCGCUCAGAGCCGGCUCGCCCGCUGGAGUCCAGCGGAUCUGGCCAUCCUUCUGUGGCACGAGUCCGUUAGGGUCACCCUGGUGAGCUCCGCCGGGCUCCCGUUUG